AAACGACUCUCGGCAACGGAUAUCUCGGCUCACGCAUCGAUGAAGAACGUAGCAAAAUGCGAUACUUGGUGUGAAUUGCAGAAUCCCGUGAACCAUCGAGUUUUUGAACGCAAGUUGCGCCCGAAGCCAUUCGGNCGAGGGCACGUCUGCCUGGGCGUCACGCA
This 164-nucleotide ribosomal RNA is filed under the name Cirsium echinus. RNAcentral's name for it is "5.8S ribosomal RNA". It matches the Rfam family "5.8S ribosomal RNA". Rfam says of the family: 5.8S ribosomal RNA (5.8S rRNA) is a component of the large subunit of the eukaryotic ribosome. The record is from RNAcentral. Lineage: Eukaryota; Viridiplantae; Streptophyta; Magnoliopsida; Asterales; Asteraceae. RNAcentral also lists the same sequence under 2 other names.